CAGUAGCCGCGGUAAUACGAAGGGUGCAAGCGUUACUCGGAAUUACUGGGCGUAAAGCGUGCGUAGGUGGUGGUUUAAGUCCGUUGUGAAAGCCCUGGGCUCAACCUGGGAAUUGCAGUGGAUACUGGGUCACUAGGGUGUGGUAGAGGAUAGUGGAAUUUCCGGUGUAGCAGUGAAAUGCGUAGAGAUCGGAAGGAACAUCUGUGGCGAAGGCGACUAUCUGGGCCAACACUGACACUGAGGCACGAAAGCGUGGGGAGCAAACAGGAUUAGAUACCCCAGUAGUCCCUGUCUCUUAUAC
This 301-nucleotide ribosomal RNA is filed under the name uncultured bacterium. RNAcentral's name for it is "partial 16S ribosomal RNA". It matches the Rfam family "Bacterial small subunit ribosomal RNA", at positions 509 to 807 of the family's 1533-position model. The record is from RNAcentral.